AUGGCGGCGCCGGGAGCUAAACCCCUGGCCCGGCUCGGCCCCGGGAGGAGAGUCCCCAACCUUUACAUCCCCCCCCCCACCGCGGCGGGGAGAUGGUAUCGUCCGGCCAGGGGGCGUGGUCAAGGGCGGCAGAGGGCGGGGCGCCUUCCCGGUGGCGCGCCGCCAUGGCUACCGUGGCAACGCCCUGCCUCGGUAGGAAUGGCGGCCGGGAGGGGGCGGGGCCUCGCGCCUCGGGAGCGGGGGGGCAGCGACCCGCGGGAACCGGGACCCACGGGAACCGGGACCCACAGGAACCGGGACCAGUGGGAACUGGGACCCACGGGAACCCGGACCCACGGCCACGGCCACCCCAUGGGAACCGGGACCCGUGGGAACCGGGACCCACAGGCACAGUCACCCCGUGGGAACCGGGAUCGGCGGGAACCGGGACCCACAGCCACAGCUGCCCCAUGGGAACCUGCCCCAUGGGAACCCACAGGAACCGGGACCCACAGCCACGGCCGUCACAUGGGAACCGGAACCCAUGGGAACCGGGACCCACAGGAACCAGGCCCCACAGCCCCCAUCACCCCACACCCACGGUUGCCCCAUGGCCACGGUCACCCCAUGGGAACCAGGCCCCACAGCCAUGGUCACCCCACAGUCACUGGGCCCCGUGACCACGGUCACCCCACGGGAAGCAGGUCCCAUGGCCUGUCGCCCCACGGCCACGGUCACCCCAUGGCCACCCAAAGGAACCGGGCCCCACGGCCGCCCCACGACCGCCCCACGGCCUCCCUCCAGCCCCACGGCUCCCCACAGCACCCCCAUGGCCACCUGCUGCAGCCGGACCCCUCCGCCCCACAUCCCCGUGUGCCCCACGGCCGCCCUGCUCGGCCGAGCAGGUGGAGAGGGGCCAGCGACCCCCCCCCGCACACGCGUGUCCCCAUGCACAGGUGUGUCCCUGUGCACAUGUAUGACCCCAUGCACACGUGUGUCCCCGUGCACGUGCAGCCCCAUGCACACAUGGCCCCAUGCACACGUGUGUCCCCGUGCACACGUGUGUCCCCAUGCACCUGUGUGUCCCUGUGCACAUGUGUGUCUUCGUGCACAUGCAUAUCCCCAUACACAUGUGGCCCUGUGCACACUCAUGUCCCCGUGCACACGUGGCCCUGUGCACAUGUGUGGCCCUGUGCACACGUGUGUGUCCAUGCACACGCAUGUCCCCAUGCACAUGUGUGGCCCCAUGCACCUGUGGCCCCAUGCACAUGUGUCCCCGUGCACAUGUGUGUCCCUGUGCACACGCAUGUCUCCAUGCACACGUGUCCCUGUGCACACGCAGCCCCGUGCACACGCGCGUCCCCGCGCACACGCGCGCCGCCGGGCGCCCUCCGUGGUGGCAGCGGCGCCGUCUCCCCGGCGGCGGCGGCGGCAGCGGCGGCGGCUUCCCAGCGGGUUCCUUCCCUUGUGUCACUGUGUUUUCCUCAAACACGCCCACGCUGUCCUUAUGGGAACCAACAAUUACGGGCGGCUGCCGCGCCGGGCACACGCACACACGGGCACACGCACACGCAAGGCCCCGCCGCCCCCCGGGCGCCCCCGGCCGCUGCCCCGGCCCCACCGGCCGCCCCCCCUCCGCGGCCUCCGGAGACGGGAGGUUUCACCCCACGGGAAGUGCAAAAUCCUCGGAGCGAAGCGGGAGCAAAACCCCGGCUCCUGCCUCCUGCUUCCCCCCACACACACCCCCGAUCCGGGACCGGAGCCCAAGCGCUGCCCCUCGCUCCGGGCUCGGAGCGGCCCCGUGCUGGAGACGCAUCCAUCCGUCCAUCCGUCCGUCCGCAGGGAUGGAGCUGGCACCCGGCUUUGCCCCUCGGCUCUGCCACGGCUGCGACAAACCACGGACACGUGGCCUGGGCAAAGCAGGUGGCACCUCCGCUAACGAGGUGGCAUCGGCGCUAA
Molecule: long non-coding RNA, 1938 nt
Organism: Apteryx haastii (Great spotted kiwi)
Lineage: Eukaryota; Metazoa; Chordata; Aves; Apterygiformes; Apterygidae
Source: Ensembl